CCUACGGGCGGCUGCAGUGGGGAAUUUUGGACAAUGGGCGCAAGCCUGAUCCAGCCAUGCCGCGUGAGUGAAGAAGGCCUUCGGGUUGUAAAGCUCUUUCAGACGGAAAGAAAUCGGGCGGGCCAAUACCCUGCCUGGAUGACGGUACUGUCAGAAGAAGCACCGGCUAACUACGUGCCAGCAGCCGCGGUAAUACGUAGGGUGCGAGCGUUAAUCGGAAUUACUGGGCGUAAAGCGUGCGCAGGCGGUUGUGUAAGACAGGUGUGAAAUCCCCGGGCUUAACCUGGGAACUGCGCUUGUGACUGCACGGCUAGAGUACGGCAGAGGGGGGUGGAAUUCCACGUGUAGCAGUGAAAUGCGUAGAGAUGUGGAGGAACACCGAUGGCGAAGGCAGCCCCCUGGGCCGAUACUGACGCUCAUGCACGAAAGCGUGGGGAGCAAACAGGAUUAGAUACCCGUGUAGUCAUC
Molecule: ribosomal RNA, 468 nt
Filed under: uncultured Azoarcus sp.
Lineage: Bacteria; Pseudomonadati; Pseudomonadota; Betaproteobacteria; Rhodocyclales; Zoogloeaceae
Description: bacterial SSU rRNA
Rfam family: Bacterial small subunit ribosomal RNA
Source: RNAcentral